This 300-nucleotide ribosomal RNA is filed under the name uncultured Microbacteriaceae bacterium. RNAcentral describes it as "bacterial SSU rRNA". It matches the Rfam family "Bacterial small subunit ribosomal RNA", at positions 114 to 415 of the family's 1533-position model. The record is from RNAcentral. Lineage: Bacteria; Bacillati; Actinomycetota; Actinomycetes; Micrococcales; Microbacteriaceae.
CACGUGAGCAAUCUGCCCUUGACUCUGGGAUAACUGCGGGAAACUGUAGCUAAUACCGGAUACUUUCCUCGGUGGGCAUCCACUGGGGAAGAAAGAAUUUCGGUCAAGGAUGAGCUCGCGACCUAUCAGCUAGUUGGUGAGGUAAUGGCUCACCAAGGCGACGACGGGUAGCCGGCCUGAGAGGGUGACCGGCCACACUGGGACUGAGACACGGCCCAGACUCCUACGGGAGGCAGCAGUGGGGAAUAUUGCACAAUGGGCGCAAGCCUGAUGCAGCAACGCCGCGUGAGGGACGAAGGC